GGUGAACGCUGGCGGUAGGCUUAACACAUGCAAGUCGAACGGCAGCACAGGAGAGCUUGCUCUCUGGGUGGCGAGUGGCGGACGGGUGAGGAAUACAUCGGAAUCUACUCUGUCGUGGGGGAUAACGUAGGGAAACUUACGCUAAUACCGCAUACGACCUACGGGUGAAAGCAGGGGAUCUUCGGACCUUGCGCGAUUGAAUGAGCCGAUGUCGGAUUAGCUAGUUGGCGGGGUAAAGGCCCACCAAGGCGACGAUCCGUAGCUGGUCUGAGAGGAUGAUCAGCCACACUGGAACUGAGACACGGUCCAGACUCCUACGGGAGGCAGCAGUGGGGAAUAUUGGACAAUGGGCGCAAGCCUGAUCCAGCCAUACCGCGUGGGUGAAGAAGGCCUUCGGGUUGUAAAGCCCUUUUGUUGGGAAAGAAAUCCAGCUGGCUAAUACCCGGUUGGGAUGACGGUACCCAAAGAAUAAGCACCGGCUAACUUCGUGCCAGCAGCCGCAGUAA
RNAcentral lists this ribosomal RNA (506 nucleotides) under uncultured bacterium. RNAcentral's name for it is "partial 16S ribosomal RNA". It matches the Rfam family "Bacterial small subunit ribosomal RNA", at positions 28 to 523 of the family's 1533-position model. The record is from RNAcentral.